AAAAGCGUUUGGCUUAUUAGGGGCGAGCGAAUCGUGAGGAUGGCUAACCGAGGAGUUUUCUCCUCGGGGUUGUAGGUCUGCUAUGUGGACUUAAAGAGUAUAGAAUAACUACCUGGGAAGGUAGGCCAAAGAGAGUUAUAGCCUCGUAUUUGAAAUAUUCUUUAUACCUAGCAGUAUCCUGAGUACGGCGAGACACGCGAAAUCUCGUCGGUAUCUGGGAGGACCAUCUCCCAACCCUUAAUACUCUCUAGUGACCGAUAGUGAACCAGUACCGUGAGGGAAAGGUGAAAAGUACCCCGGAAGGGGUGUGAAAUAGAACCUGAAACCGUGUGCCUACAACAAGUUCGAGCCCGUUAAUGGGUGAGAGCGUGCCUUUUGUAG
Molecule: ribosomal RNA, 381 nt
Filed under: Streptococcus suis
Lineage: Bacteria; Bacillati; Bacillota; Bacilli; Lactobacillales; Streptococcaceae
Description: partial 23S ribosomal RNA
Rfam family: Bacterial large subunit ribosomal RNA
Source: RNAcentral